AGUGAACGCUGGCGGUAGGCCUAACACAUGCAAGUCGAACGGCAGCACAGUAAGAGCUUGCUCUUACGGGUGGCGAGUGGCGGACGGGUGAGGAAUACAUCGGAAUCUACUUUUUCGUGGGGGAUAACGUAGGGAAACUUACGCUAAUACCGCAUACGACCUACGGGUGAAAGCAGGGGAUCUUCGGACCUUGCGCGAUUGAAUGAGCCGAUGUCGGAUUAGCUAGUUGGCGGGGUAAAGGCCCACCAAGGCGACGAUCCGUAGCUGGUCUGAGAGGAUGAUCGGCCACACUGGAACUGGGACACGGUCCAGACUCCUACGGGAGGCAGCAGUGGGGAAUAUUGGACAGUGGGCGCAAGCCUGAUCCAGCCAUACCGCGUGUGAGAAGAAGGCCUUGGGUUUGUAAAGCCCUUUUGUUGGGAAAGAAAAGCAGCAGGUUAAUACCCCGCUGUUCUGACGGUACCCAAAGAAUAAGCACCGGCUAACUUCGUG
RNAcentral lists this ribosomal RNA (492 nucleotides) under uncultured bacterium. RNAcentral describes it as "partial 16S ribosomal RNA". It matches the Rfam family "Bacterial small subunit ribosomal RNA", at positions 29 to 507 of the family's 1533-position model. The record is from RNAcentral.